UAAAAACAUGCAGAGUUUAAAAUUGAGGACAUUAAAGAAAGAUAGACACAAACUCUGCCCACAGCGAUGGCAGCAAUUUAAGAAGGUUGCUGAAGAAGAGGACCUCAAAGAGAGCACAUCCACAAUGAAGAACCAAAGCAGAGUGUUAUUCUGCCCAAUAACAAAGCAUGACUGUUGGGCUUAAAGACAGAGGUCAAGGUGUGUUCAACCAGCUGUCUGAGCUACUGCAUCUCUUGAGUUUCGCUGAGCUUUGCAAAUAACAAGAAUGAAGGGAGUGACAGCUCUGUUUGUCUAAACCAAGAUGCUGAUUUUAUGCCUGCAUCUUUGCUGUGCACUACAAAAUGGAAAGUGCAACUUUACAGUGGCAAUGGUGCAUACUGCUGGAAAAGUCACUUGCUUCAAGAUGAUGGAUGGACAUGUCCCAAUUUGCAUGUCUGGUGGUCAAACAUCUCAAUCAUGUGACAUUGCGUACAAAGAUGGGAUGACGUGUAUAAAGUGGCCAGCAGACAUCGAACUCACAUGUGUGAACGAUUCUGAUGAGAUGCAUAAGCUCAAUAUUGAAGAAAACAAGUGUGCCCAUGACCAAGAAUCUAUUAGUUGCAAUGGAGAGUACAAAUCUGAGCUUAGAAAUUCUGCAUCAACCCUGUCAUUGAGCAUUCUUCUAAUUACUACCAUUGUCCACUGGGUGUCACUAUGGCACUACUAAUAUAGUAAUAUAGUGUAUAGUUCUGAGACACAUUACUCAAACUUAAAAAUAAUAAUAACAAUAAUAAUGUGUUCGAAUAAACCAUUUUUAUAUAUAUAUAAAAAAACUAUGCAAUACUCAAUAAAAAUAAAAAUUUACAUUUUCACUUCAUAUAUACAUACAGUCAUGGCCAAAAGUUUUGGCAGUGACAUAAAUUUUGUGUUUUGCAAAGUUUGCUGCUUAAACUGUUGUGGUGUUCAUUCGCAUUGUUUCUAGAUUAUUGUGUAGAUUGAUCAGAUGCAUUUUAAAUUAAUUGCUAAAAGCUUAAUUGGCCAAAAAAAAUUACUUCAAAUUUCACAGUUUUUUUGGUAAACAUGGCCUUGUCCCAACUUUUUUGAGAUGUGUUGAUUUAAAAUCAACUUAUUUUUCCCUUAAAAUUAUACAUUUUCUCAGUUUAAACAUUUGAUAUGUCAUCUAGGUUGUAUUCUAAAUAAAAUAUUGAAAUUUGAAACUUCCACAUCAUUGCAUUCUGUUUUUAUUCACAAUUUGUACAGUGUCCCAACUUUUUUGGAAUCGGGUUUGUACAAGGAUUGGACAGCAGAAGACUGGUGCAAAGUUAUUUUCUCUGAUAAAGCUUCUCUCCGACUGUUUGGGACAUCUGGAAAAAGGAUUGUUCGGAGAAGAAAAGGUGAACGCGAGUCCUGUGUUGUGCCAAAAGUGAAG
Molecule: long non-coding RNA, 1408 nt
Organism: Cyprinus carpio carpio
Lineage: Eukaryota; Metazoa; Chordata; Actinopteri; Cypriniformes; Cyprinidae
Source: Ensembl